This 504-nucleotide ribosomal RNA is filed under the name uncultured bacterium. Its description in RNAcentral is "bacterial SSU rRNA". It matches the Rfam family "Bacterial small subunit ribosomal RNA", at positions 29 to 518 of the family's 1533-position model. The record is from RNAcentral.
AUGAACGCUGGCGGCGUGCCUAACACAUGCAAGUCGAACGGAGAUUAGACGCUGACGAGACUUCGGUCAAAUCUGUUUAAUCUUAGUGGCGGACGGGUGAGUAACGCGUGGGCAACCUGCCUCAUACUGGGGGAUAGCAGUUGGAAACGACUGAUAAUACCGCAUAAGCGCACAAGGUCGCAUGACCUGGUGUGAAAAACUCCGGUGGUAUGAGAUGGGCCCGCGUCAGAUUAGCUAGUUGGUAAGGUAACGGCUUACCAAGGCGACGAUCUGUAGCCGGACUGAGAGGUCGGACGGCCACAUUGGGACUGAGACACGGCCCAAACUCCUACGGGAGGCAGCAGUGGGGGAUAUUGCACAAUGGAGGGAACUCUGAUGCAGCGACGCCGCGUGAGUGAAGAAGUAUUUCGGUAUGUAAAGCUCUAUCAGCAGGGAAGAAAGGCCCGCAAGGGAGAUGACGGUACCUGACUAAGAAGCCCCGGCUAACUACGUGCCAGCCGCUGC